GGCUUAGUGGCGUAAUGGUAGCGCACUCCGUGUACCUACAGCAUUCGCAUAUCGGUUGAUGGAAGGUUCGGAGUUCGAUUCUCCAUCAAGCCA
Mycena latifolia is the source of this 93-nucleotide non-coding RNA. The record is from the annotation of a GenBank genome assembly. Lineage: Eukaryota; Fungi; Basidiomycota; Agaricomycetes; Agaricales; Mycenaceae.